This 267-nucleotide long non-coding RNA is filed under the name Urocitellus parryii (Arctic ground squirrel). RNAcentral's name for it is "lncRNA (ENSUPAG00010017868.1)". The record is from RNAcentral. Lineage: Eukaryota; Metazoa; Chordata; Mammalia; Rodentia; Sciuridae.
CAGGGCUGUCUUAGAGAAAUGACCAUGAGAAAACAGUGCAUCAGAAAGCUGUAGAUCAGCUGUCCUGGUAACUAGUUUCCUGAGGAGCUAUGGGAGGUUGAGUCCUACAAGCAAGAGUGUGUAGAGAAGUGUUGAUMACUUACCGAGUGCUGCAUCAAGUGCUGGAUGAACAAGUCUCUGAGAGCACCAGAACCAGGUAAGAAUUUAAAGGAAGGCGAAUGAUGAAAAGGCAAUGAUCUUUAAUAUUCAAGGAGGGUUCAUCUGGAA